This 9435-nucleotide long non-coding RNA is filed under the name Monodelphis domestica (gray short-tailed opossum). Its description in RNAcentral is "lncRNA (ENSMODG00000022855.3)". Lineage: Eukaryota; Metazoa; Chordata; Mammalia; Didelphimorphia; Didelphidae. The record is from RNAcentral.
AUGUCUACCUCCAAAGAGAGGGCAGGCACCCAGAGAGGGAAAGAAGUCAGGAGAGCCAUCCUAUCGGCAAUUACUGGACGGGAGACAGUCAGAAUUGUGCCAUCUGAGAGUGUGGCAGGAUCGAGCGUUUCCUCUCAGCUCACACACGUACAGGUCAACACCCAGCCAAGGCAGCCUGCGACCAGAGAUGGCACAGCCAUUCCAUGGCCUCCUUCCACAGCUGAAUCUGUCACUAGAUUAGAAAACAUAAGCCAUGCUUGGCAACAGACACCAGAUGCGACUUCCAUGACAGAGAUGAAGGGUUCAGUUAUUCUUAGGACUAAAAGCGUAAGUCGGCUCCCAGAAGUCAGGGACCCUAAUGCCAGCCCAACCACUUUGCCUCCCAGUACAGAAGCAGGGGCCAGCAGGGUCACGCCUUUGCCGACUCCCUGGGCUCAGGUUCCAGCAUCCUCAGACCUUCCACGGGGAGUUGGAGUUCCAGACAUAUUGGUUGCGCUUCCUGGCACGGUUGCAGCGGAGACUCCUUUGAAUGACAUGUUUUUCACUGUUGUAGCCCCAGAGAUCGGUCCUUCCAAUGUCAGAGGACAAAGGUUUGAUCCAGUGUUGCCACAAGGGUCACCUGCCCUCAGAGACAGGCCUGAGAGUCCGAAUAGAUUAGCUUCCAUGUCCAUCGAGUCUCCCAGUGACACCAGAGUAGAUGUGCACAUGGCGACAUCCACAGACGACACAGAGAGUAGUGCCUCAGUGAUGAGCGUCUCAUUCGCAGAUGACUGGAAAUCCAGAAGAGAAUCCGAAAAGUCCGCGGAUACCCCCUGGCAUAAUGUGGCAGGCCCUUUUGAGAUGAUCAGUGAAAUGGGGGCGAGUAGCACCUAUCUUUCUACCCAGAGACCCUCCGUCACUGUGGACAAUUGGAUAGAUUAUGUCAUGACAAAAGCACACGUAAUGGAAGCCACUUCUAGAAUGCUUAGUGCCAGUUCUGAAAAAGCAAACCUCCCUGACGAUCCUGAAACCACAGACUUGAUCGCCAUCAGCAGAGAUAUAGUGAAUUCAAGUUUGUCUUCUGUUACCUCGCUGAUGGAUGAAGAAAUUGCAUCACCCAGUGAAUCAGAUAGAGAACUCAAUACAGCUAACCAUAGGACCACUGACUCUUAUCCUAUCGCUGUUGGUCAGAUGAGCCAUCAGCUUUCAUUUUCUGAAAAACAGCGCAUGGCUAAGACUUUCAACUUUAUUAAUCAUGGAGCCCCAAAAUCUUCCAUGGCACCUACCAGAACAACAGACACCACUACCAGCAGCUCUGUGCUCACACCUGGAGGAAGGGUAGCCAUGCCAGGGCCCUCUACUGGAACCUCACAUCUUGCUAUAUCUGGGAUAGAUGCCAGUCGUUCUGUGCAGCAGUCUCGCAUGGCAGCCCCUGUAAAUUCUUCAGGGGUCACUAAUGUAGAAGAUAUGAAGGUGGGUACCUCUAAGGUUGAAAGUGUAAGCCUGAUCCCUAGCACCACAGGCAGCCAUGCAUCUCUUUUGCUCCCAUAUCACUCUAGACAUUCAAGCAUAGAGUCACAGAGUAGUUUGCCCGGUCUCUGGUCCAUUUCUUCGUCUGAUAGCUCAUCUUCUAAACCACGGGAUUUCCCAAAAAUCCUGAAAACUGUAUGGCCCGAAGAUUACAAAGGGGUUUUGGUGACAGGGUCUGGUACCUUCUCUGAGCUCCCAGAAAAAGUCCACAUUACAAAUUUUUACCCCACCUCCCUGGAACAGAUGACUUGUUCUUGGACUGAGAGGAUGGCCUUGACCACUUUAAAUCUCCCUACCAUAAGAGAGGAAGUGAACUGCCCUACAUCUCUCCUAUCAUCCCCUAAGUCCUCAGAUAGCUCAAUGACCAUUGCCCUAACUUCAGACGAGACAGAGGAAGUUGCCUUUCCAUAUUUUGACUUGUUAGAGAACAUCAGUCAUGAGCAGACAGCCAGCUAUCAGAAAUCUAUAGACACCACUAUGGGCCACAUACAGCCAAGUUUAGAUAUGGCCUCCACCAGUGCUCUGAUUUCCCACGAAAGGAGCACAGGCAGUGUUCCAGACUCAGAGAUCAAGAAAAAUUUUCCUGCGACCUCUAAUUCUAUUGAUACCAACCUUAACCUCAAGUCAGGUCAUUCUUCAUGGCUCAAAGGAGAUUCAAUUGUCUACAUGACUCAGGAUCACACCCCAAGUUCUACAUCAAGGGCUGGUCUUGGAACAGGGACAGGGUCUUUGCUGGCAUUGACGACAGAAGCAUCCUCUCUGCCCAACCCUAGAGAAAACACAGUCAACCCAACAUUUUCUAAUACCACUGAAGUUAUGACUCCCACCAUGUCUGGAAUAAGAGCCAGCUCUCCUCCGAAUCCUUUCUUCACUUCAUCAACUGCCACAGUUGCCUUGGGGGUUAUGCCCAGUAAAAAAGAGGGGACUUCAGAUCCCCUUAGUGCAAGUCUGAUCCCUAGCACUAAGGUCACGGUCAUCAGUCCAAGUUCUGUGCCUAUAUCCCAUCCUGACCUCCAAAGCACAGGUGCAGAGGCUAGUGUAGCCACCCCACUGACCAAUUGCCCAUAUGAAGUGUUGGCAUCUUCAGACAAUGAGAUGGCAGGAACAGACCCAUUCACAACAGCUGGUGGCUCCACUCUGGGGAAGACUUCUCCUGAUGCUAUUGCAUAUACAACCCCAGAGACCCACUCUGCCAGAGUCAUGGGAACAAACCCUGCUCCAAUGCCUGCUGGGGCAUGUGCCAUUUCUACUACCAUGCCAGAGAAUCUAGAUGUCCAAGCAGGAAAGGGGCCAAAGGGGCCUAACUCGGCUGUUCUGCCUCCCACUGUUCUGAGUGAUGUCCCAACUGGGCAGGCAACACCAUCCACAGAACCCAUGGUGGGUAGCGAGACACCUAGUGGUUUCUCUGAGCCAAGUGAAGUGCCCCAUAUCACUUGCCUGCACACCAACUCCAAAGCACAUCUAGUCACUUCUUGGUCUGAAAGGACAAUCUCCUUAGACCUUCCCAUUUUAAGUGAGGACAUAAACUACUCCAUCUCUAUGGGUUCCUCAAAAUCCACUUCCAUGGCUCCUGGGCCAGCUACAAGGGCCAGCCUUGGAGCAGAGUAUAAGACUCUAAUCCCUACCGUGUCAAAGCCUAGCCUUGGAGCAAAGGCAUGUUUGACCCUGGAGCCAACUACGGUAGCAGUCGAUGCCUCUGCUGCCAGCAGCUCCUUGCCUGCUACUAGAGAUAGCCCAGUUGUUUCUUGGCCUUCUAGUGCAGCAGAAGCCACAGUUGUCACUGUGAUUUAUACUGACACCAACCCUACUUGGUCAGAGAUCCUCACUCCAUUAGCCUCAUCAGAAGUCACUCCUGUGGCCGAGGAGAUGAACUCUGAAGUCCUUGGGGUUGAAAGUUCAAGUCUGAUCCCUAUCAGCAAGAAGGCAGACAUUAUAUAUACUUCUCCUGGGCCCUCCCCACAUCCUGAACCUCCAAAUGCAAGGGCAGAGACUAGCCUAGUUGCCCUUCCAGCCGCAUCCUCUUCUGAAGCUUUCAUCGAGGAUGGAGCGGCCAACCCGUUAGUUGUACCUUUUGUCCCAACACCUGUAGGGAUGCUUUCUUAUUGGAGAACACAUGCAGGUGCUCAGCUGAAUUCAACCAAAGUCCUAGGCAGGGCCUCAGCUUCCACCCUGACCCUAGCCUUAUCCACUGCCACAGAAAGGCUGGAUGCCAGGAUAGGAAGAGAGCUCAGCUCUAUGGCCUUGCCUAUCUCUGCUCUGAGUGACCUCCAGACAGCUGGCACAUCUGCAGAUCCACCAAGAGGGAGUGCCACAUGGUCCAGUUCUUUCUUUGAGCUCACAGAAAUGCCCCAGGUCAUUCAAAUAGCACACCCCAGCUCUGAGAUGCACCUGGCUACUCCUUGGUUUGAAAGAACCAGUCUAACAAACAUCCGGCGAUAUUCUGUGUCUGCCCCUACAUCCUCCACCACUGUGGAUUUCAGGGCUCUCUUGGAAGUACUGAGGAAGGAAGCUCCCUCUCCAUCCACUGGCCCCGCAGAGACCACAGCUUCUGAGCAGGCUCCUAGCUCUGCAGGACUUCUGGCCACCACUGGAAGUUUGACUAGAGAGAGAACCAGAUGGUCGAAUCCAAGUGCAUCAUUAAUAAUCUCCCAAGUGGCUGUGGCCAGUUCAGAGGGCAGCAUUCCAAACUUGGGGAACACCAUAGGUUCCCUUAGGACUUCAUCCUCACCUCAGAGUAGAGCUGGCCUUUGGAUCAGUCCUACUGAAAGACACAGGAAGGGUUCAGUCAGCAACACAAACCUAAGCUACCCUCCAGGUGCUCGAGAGUGCAAUCUUGCAACAAGGAUCCACUCAUCUCUGUCACUGACCACAACACUUGAUGCUUCCAGCACGAGCAGCUCUGAGGCCAACACUGGAAAGAGCCCUGUCAUCCCUUGUUCCCCGACCACAGCUCAAGUCGCCACGAAUACUACAGGUGCUGGCCUUCCUGUGGCACAGGGCCUCAUUCCACCAACCCCUUCCGUCUUGUUGGUUUUUUCAAGGGAUGGGGAGCCGGGCUCAUCUGCCUCUGCGACAGAUAGCUUACACCCAGGCCCUGGGAGCCAACUCACACAUUUUGCUCACCAAUCUGGCCUUCCAAACGCAGGAGGGGGAGGGCAGACCAGCAUGGCCUCCCACUUGACCAUAUCUUUCCUGGAAAUUCUGUCCUUAGACAAUGUGAUCCUCCAGCCAGGUUCAUCAGUCACAACUCUUCACUCUAUGGCUUCUAGGAGCCCAGAGAACAGCUCAGCUCUCCCUCUGGCAGCUUUGUUUCCUGUGGCUACAGCCAAAGGCACCUUAGCCAAUGCCACGGCAGAGAGCCCUAUAGCGGCGUUCUCUGCAAAUUCCACCCCUGCCACCACUGGUGGAUCAGCAGUGGUCACUCUGGGCCUGACCCCUUCAGUCCUUACAGGACAUGACCCUACCGGUCGUGAGUGGACACUGACUGUUGGCUUGACACCUGGAGCUAUCUCUGGCUCAGGAACUGAUACCAGCUCAGUGGCCUCUCCUCUCGCAAGGCUGUCUGGUCUCACAGCAGCAUUGGCACCAGGAAUAGAUGCCCAAAGGUCUGUAGGGGAGAGCACAUCCUCCCUGAACCGAGGUGUAGGGACCAGCAGUUCUGUAAGUUGGACCUCAUCCCCGUGGAAUACCUCGUCUUCCGUCAGCCUAGAUACAGAGUCAGGGACAGGAUGCCCCAUUUUUUCAGCACCAGGGAGCUUCCCUGCCUUGGUGGUCGCCACUUUUGAGAUCUCAACAGAGGAACUAAGUGGGCAGAUAGCUUCUGGCUCAGCCACUCUUCAGGCUACCAACCUCCUUGAUUCCACCUCUUCAAUUAGCCAUGAGUUUGGGACACCCACAGAAACCACCUCACCUCUGGCGGGAGCCACCAUGCCAGCUGAGACAUCUGUUCAAGUGACCAUAAGACAUGAAGACCUUCCUCAUACCCCAUUUGAGCCCACAGCUGCUCCAGGUUCCAGUACUUCUUUAGAGACCAGCAUACUUGAGACAGUUUCCUCUACUCUCUCUGCAGCCACCCCAACAGCAGGCAAGACUACUGGGGAGAUCCUUCCCACAGUUCCUACUCCAUGGCCUACUCUAGUUGAUUCCUCAUACACAAAAGUUUUUGGUGGAGGGGCAGGAACAAGCCCUAAAGUCAUGUGGAUGCAACCAACUUCAACUCAGAUGAAAACCAUGUCUCUGACAGCAGAGGGGUCCAAGCCCCAGGCAAGAACUGAACUAGGCUCCUCUAACCUGGUUCCCAUCACCCUGAGUGAUGUCCCAACAGCUGUUGGAGGAGACAUGGGCACAACUGUGCCAUUUACAGACAUGACAACUGAAGAUAUGACAACGAUCUCACCUGGCACCUUCACCAAGCCUGUAGACACAUUGAGCAUCGUUCAAAGUCCACAUACUAGCUCCUUAGACCCUUCAUCCAUUCCCUGGUCUGAGAGAAUGACCUCCUUGAGUACAAGAAAGGUGAGCCACUCCAUGGCUCUCCUUGGGCCCUCUGGCUCAUCUGAUACCACAUCAGGGUCACAGACAAGCAAAGAGACCGCUCCAUCUACUGUCCUCACUGAGACCCCAGCUGAUCAGGGGGCAGCUAGCCCAAUUUUUACCACCAGUGAAAAAACACAGAAAAGUACAAGUGUACCCUCUAAAACCUCACUGGUGGUGAAGGAAGGAAUAACAGGCUCAGAGACCAGUACGGAAUUCACUGAUUCCUAUGCUAAGGUUCUGGGAAGAGAAGUGAGUGCCAUCCCUAGCAAUAUCUGGUCAAGUUCAAGUUUGACCUCCAUCAGCACUUUGGUGGAAGAGUCACAUACAUCCCUCAGUGCUCCAGACACAGACACCAGUCCAAUUUCCUCUAAGACCUCUGUCUCUGUUGACACCAGUGCCAGUUUCAGGAUAAGUCCUUCUGGAGGAUACAGUACAGCUGUGGACAUAGCUCUCACCCACACCCUGGUAUCAACCACAGCUCCAGCUAAAGCUUCUAUGACUAUUGAAUCAGAGACUGUGCCAGGGGUAACGUCACCUCUAGAAGCUUCAGUUUUCACUUCUGGGAUGCAGGAUGUAUGGAUGUCACCAUCGUUCUCUUCAGAGACCAUGGCUAAAGUGGGCAGCACCCCGAGGGCAGAUACAGUCACUGCUCCCUUUCCUACUGACUCCACCCCUUUUACAAGUAGUGAUGCUGGCAUGGUGCUUAUCACAUCUGCCCCCAUCCAUGGAGCAACAGGAAACCCUCCAGCCCUCACAUCUACCUUUGAUCCAGUAGGAAUCAGCAAGAACUCUGGUCCUAGCACAUAUAGGGAAGACUUAAUUGCAACAGAAAGCACAAGAUCUCCAGUCAAUAAACCCUCAGUGCUCACAACCAAUGUCCACACUUCAGGUUUUGAUGCUAGUGUGGUGACUGUCACCCACAUUCCAGACCAAGUUGCAUCUGGAGGAUCCUGGGCACCAACAAGUGAUUCUCAGGCACUCAGAUCCACUGUCAGUUCCACAGGCAAAAAUGUGGUGCCCACCACACAAAUCCCAAGCCAAGAAGCAUCAAGAGGUUCUGUAACACUGACAAGCAACCCUCUAACACUCAAAGACACUCUCAGCCCUAUAGUGACCACAUCUAGAACACACACAGCUACCAUGGAGAGCACCAGUAUGGGCCUGGGACCAAUAUCAAGGUCAAUUUCACCAGAUGCCCCACAGACAACUGCUUUGGCUUCAGAAAUGGACAUUAGCUCCUCUGCCUCCCAGGCUUCCUCUCUUUCAUCUUUCAGUAGCAAAGAAACAGAGAAAAUACCUUCAUCCAUUCCAGUGCAAGCUGAGGCUACCACCCCAGAGAAGCUGGACGCCCGGACAAGCACAGAAUCUGACUCAGCUUCUUGGCUCACUCCUGCUCUAAGCACCGUCCCAACUGCUGCAGUAGGAGACACAUAUGCAUCCCUGGCAUCCACAGAAGCAAAAACUGAGCUCAUAACAACGUCUUUUUCCUUUGUGGAGAGUAAAGACAAAAAUGGGGCAACUCCCAAAGAGCAAACAUAUUCCACAGGACCCUCAACUCUUCCUUGGCUUAAGACAAUAUCCACUAUUGUCCCCUAUAAUGUAAGUCAGGAAGCCAACUUUUCCACAAUUGUCCCUUCACCUACUAGAACAGGAGCCUUGGCGAGCCAAGCUGCACUUCCUACCACGGAGUCCCCUAAAUCCUCAUAUUCUGAGGGGGUGACCACUUCAACUGGACCAGUGACUGCCAAUACAGCUAUUCCUCCUAGUCUCAGUCCAGGAGAGAUCCAAGAUUUCGCCACUCAAGACAACAUACUACUAAGCAAUAGUUUGGUCUCCACAUCCACCCAUGUGUUUGAAAUGAGUAUAGGGGGCAGUGCUACAGGAUCAGAUGAUAGCACAAUUCACCCUGUUGAGACCUCCCUUGAUCUCAGGACAAGCCCUACUGGAGAGUCCAGCACAGGGGCAGAGGGCUAUGCUACUCUAUACAACACCCUCCUUACUAUAGGGUCAGCUCCACGGGAGAUGAUGACUCAUGAUGUUCCACCUGCAGACUUAGAGGUGCCAUUAGAUCAUUCCUUGACGACCUUGGACAUGGUGGCCAUGACUAGUCCUGUUACAGAUAUGGUGACCACCUUAACCACAGACAGCACUGUCAGGGUCCAUCACUCAGUCCUUCCUCUUGGCACCAGUUCAGUGGAGAUGUCACCAAGUUCUACAUCAUUCAUUCCCGGAGAGGAAAAUCCUGCCAUCCAGUGGCCAGAUGUGACCACAAUGACCUUUGCUCAUCUUGGACAAGGAUCAAGUCUGUCUUCUAUUACCCAGGAUGAGCCAUCUGUAACUCAAAGAACAUUGAUUACCAAAGUUCCACAGGGAAGUAAUAAAGAAUCCCUAUUGUCCUCUACUGAAGUUCAGGCCACUGGAACAGGGACAAUAGCAAUUUCCACAGCCUCAAGCCUACAGUACAUCCAGACUUCCAAGGGUACCAUCUCAGAGGCCAACAGGACCUAUCCUACUUUUUCAUCUUCCCUGGGAAGCCCUGGGACACAAGACUCUACUCUUGAGAGAGUAACAAGCAAUUAUCAGGCAUUGUCCAAUAUGCCCACCGAGAAAUCACUGGGAGGAGACACUGGUUCACCAAUCCCUAUUUCCACAAUACUUUCUAAAGUCACUACAUCAAGAGCAAGUACCCAAGGAUUUGAAAGUCCAAGCACAGCUACUCUGGAAGCCAGCACUGCUUCAGCAGUGGGGGCCAGGCCUGCUGUGACCUUGAUGUCUUCACUGACAAAGACUACAGCUUCUAUCAGCACAGAUGUGAAGACCACGCCACAUUUAGCUUUCUAUGCAUCCAGUCCCCCAUCACCAGCAAAAACAAGCUCUCCAAGUCUAGUUGAUAUCACCUUAGGUGAAUUUUCCUUGGAUUCCUCCACAAGAGCAGCACCCUCUAGCCCUGCCUAUGAAUCUCCAAAGCAAAGCCCAAAUGCUUCUCCUACUGUUGCCACUUCUGUGGCUUGGAUAAGUGCCAUUCCCCCUGGUACUACUCCCUCUUGGGAGGGAUCAAGGGAAGCCAUCUUGACUGCAGGAUCAGAGACGACCUCAGGGUUAGUGAAAACAUCAUCUCUAGCUGCUACUCUGACUCCGGCAAGAACACAGGCAGUCUGGACAUCAUCACUUCCCACCUCAGCAUCCACAGCUUCAGAGGACAGUAGUGCUAGGGAAGAAAUAGAAGCUAUUUCUGCCCCUGCAGCUCCCAGCUCCACCUUGUUCACAAGUGGUGAUGCUGGUUUGGAGCCUGUCACCCAUAUUACUGACAACAGAGUACCAGGAGACACUAUAACACUGACAAGUGGAUUGCUGGCCCCUGUGUCUACUGUACAUGUUGCAGGUAAGUAG